This 472-nucleotide ribosomal RNA is filed under the name uncultured bacterium. RNAcentral's name for it is "bacterial SSU rRNA". It matches the Rfam family "Bacterial small subunit ribosomal RNA", at positions 8 to 507 of the family's 1533-position model. The record is from RNAcentral.
AGAGUUUGAUCAUGGCUCAGGACGAACGCUGGCGGCGUGCUUUAGACAUGCAAGUCGAACGAGAUCUUCGGAUCUAGUGGCGAACGGCGGAGUAAUACAUAACAACGUGCCCUGAAGACUGGGAUAUACGGUCGAAAGGCCGAGCAAUACCGGAUGUGGCCGAGACUAGGCAUCUAGACUCGAUUAAAUGGUUUUUCGCUUCAGGAGCGGUUUAUGACUCAUCAGCUAGUUGGUAGGGUAAUGGCCUACCAAGGCUACGACGGGUAGGGGGUCUGAGAGGAUGAUCCCCCCGAGUGGGACUGAGACACGGCCCACACACCUACGGGUGGCAGCAGUUUGGAAUCUUGCCCAAUGGGGGAAACCCCUGAGGCAGCGACGCCGCGUGGAGGAUGAAGGAUUUAGGUCUGUAAACUCCUUUUGCCAGGAAAGACUUAGGACGGUACCUGGCGAAUAAGCUCCGGCUAACUACGUG